Molecule: transfer RNA, 56 nt
Filed under: Marmota marmota marmota (Alpine marmot)
Lineage: Eukaryota; Metazoa; Chordata; Mammalia; Rodentia; Sciuridae
Also listed under: 4 other names
Rfam family: tRNA
About the family: Transfer RNA (tRNA) molecules are approximately 80 nucleotides in length. Their secondary structure includes four short double-helical elements and three loops (D, anti-codon, and T loops). Further hydrogen bonds mediate the characteristic L-shaped molecular structure. tRNAs have two regions of fundamental functional importance: the anti-codon, which is responsible for specific mRNA codon recognition, and the 3' end, to which the tRNAs corresponding amino acid is attached (by aminoacyl-tRNA synthetases). tRNAs cope with the degeneracy of the genetic code in two manners: having more than one tRNA (with a specific anti-codon) for a particular amino acid; and 'wobble' base-pairing, i.e. permitting non-standard base-pairing at the 3rd anti-codon position.
Source: Rfam by way of RNAcentral
UAGCUCAGUGGUAGAGUACUUGCUUAACAUGUAUGAGGCCUUGGGUUCAAUCCCAA